This 827-nucleotide ribosomal RNA is filed under the name Anopsicus sp. Car127. Its description in RNAcentral is "partial 28S ribosomal RNA". It matches the Rfam family "Eukaryotic large subunit ribosomal RNA", at positions 354 to 915 of the family's 3401-position model. Lineage: Eukaryota; Metazoa; Arthropoda; Arachnida; Araneae; Pholcidae. The record is from RNAcentral.
UGAGGGAAAGUUGCAAAGAACUUUGAAGAGAGAGUUCAAGAGUACGUGAAACUGCUCAGAGGCAAACGGGUGGGCCCUCGAAAUCCUUCACCUGCGGAGGGAUUCAGUCGGGAGCGCUAGCCGGGAGCGGACGUCGGAUCGCCGGACCCCCCUAGAAGGGCCGAGCGCCGAUUCCGCAGUUCUCGUCGCGCCCGACGCACUUCCCCCCGCACCGAGGACGCCGCGACCGAUCGGGAGUCGGCCUUAGGGCGACGCCAGGAGGUGGCCGGUGGACGUUUCUCCGAAUCGUCCGUCGGUUUUUUAACGGCGUCGUAUCGUCGGCGCGACGCCCGAUCGAGGUCCGCAGCCUUCCCCUCGGGGAGGGCGGAAACCGUCUCCUUCGCUCUUGCGAGCGGGGCAUCGGGUCUGUGUGCACCGUCGCUGAUCGAACCACUCCCAGCAGUGGCCGGUCCGGCGGGUAGCCGUCGCAGGAUCCGAGCGACCGCGGAGAGAAGUCGACAGGUCGGCGGCGAGUAGGUCGGUCACCCACCCGACCCGUCUUGAAACACGGACCAAGGAGUCUAACAUGUGCGCGAGUCGCAGGGUCUUGUCCAGGCCCUCGGGCGCAAUGAAAGUGAAGGUCCCUCGCGGACCGAGUUGGGAUUCCGUCGCCGAGGCGGCGGAAGCACCAACGGCCCGUCCCUACCGAUCCGUCGGCGGGGCGGAGUCCGAGCGCACACGUUGGGACCCGAAAGAUGGUGAACUAUGCCUGGGCAGAACGAAGCCCGAGGAAACUCUGGUGGAGGUUCGUAGCGGUUCUGACGUGCAAAUCGAUCGUCAGACCCGGG